AGGAAUUCUAAUAAGCUGUCAUCAAUCCUGCAGCUGUAGUGUGCCCAUACUAAAAAUGGAAUAAAAAUUGUAAUAUCAGAGCUAUCUUACAAAUUUUCUGUUCUUGUCUUUCAGAUAAAUUUUUUGUAAAUGGUUAAUCUCAAAUCCAAGAACUUUGAAUCGUUUUUUCACUCAAUUGACUUUCUUUUUUUCCGAAUUUAAUAAUGGUGAUAAAUUGCAAGUACUUACCUGAGCAGCUGAGCACUGCCUUUAGAACUGUGGUUCCUUUCAAUUUAUUCAUUUGAGUUUAAUCCCUUGCCGCUGUUCCAGACCUUAUCCACUAGUGGAAUAUGCAGAGAGAUGUUGAACUUAUUCCAGGUUAACCCUUCGCCCUUGUGCUACAAUUUGAAGAUAUUGACGGCAACAGAAGAGCUUGCUUUCGAUCAAUAUCAAUAAAUUAGGUAGAUGUAGAUAACUUACAAGUGCAUAUCUGCUUUAUCUGGG
RNAcentral lists this long non-coding RNA (483 nucleotides) under Daphnia pulicaria. Its description in RNAcentral is "uncharacterized LOC124313634, transcript variant X1". Lineage: Eukaryota; Metazoa; Arthropoda; Branchiopoda; Diplostraca; Daphniidae. The record is from RNAcentral.